This 250-nucleotide unclassified non-coding RNA is filed under the name plant metagenome. RNAcentral describes it as "partial contains small subunit ribosomal RNA, internal transcribed spacer 1, and 5.8S ribosomal RNA". The record is from RNAcentral.
GUAGGUGAACCUGCGGAGGGAUCAUUAACACGUAUCCACGUACCACUAGUAAACCGAACACAAAGGUUCCGCUCGAGUCAGCAUUUGGACGCAAACAGUAGGGAGAACUCGCGUCUCCGUCCACGCUGACGAGGAACCUCAAGUCAGGGACUGACUCAAAACGUCCCGGAUUGGGCUUGUCUCGAUCGCAGUUUGCUACUGUUUUGUACUUCUAUCACUUUGACUACUGAACCUUUUGACUGAAACUAUG